Arachis duranensis is the source of this 1689-nucleotide RNA transcript. RefSeq lists it as uncharacterized. The record is from RefSeq and is a predicted model, not a curated record. The transcript is spliced from 10 exons. Lineage: Eukaryota; Viridiplantae; Streptophyta; Magnoliopsida; Fabales; Fabaceae.
CCUUAAUCACGCAGCAGCGGCGCCCCCUCUCUCCCUAACCCUAAUGUACUCCUCCUCCAUCCUUCUCACGCUGACACGCAGGACGGCAGCAGCGGUGGUGGGUUCGUUGUCGCUUUCAUGGCGCCUUCGCGAGUCCCAGCUACCGCGCUCUUCUCCUCCUCCUCCAUCCUUCUCACACAGGAGCAGUGGCCGUUCUUCGCUGGCGUUCUCACUCUCGCUUCCAAUAACACUCGUUAGUCAACCUCUCUCACAACCCCUCCGUUAGUGCCCCCUCCGCCAGAGAAAGGAAGAGAUUAAUGCGACACUUGAUUCUGAUGUUCCUAUGGUCCCCGCCGGCCAGCCCUCCAGCAGCGCCGCUGGCCCUUCCACCAAGAAGCCCAAGCUCUUCGAGAUCAAGAAGUGGAACGCUGUUGCUCUCUGGGCUUGGGGAACCACAUCAUGGAUCUCUGUAUCGAGUGCCAAGCUAAAUCAAGCUAGUGCAACUAGCGAGGAAUGCACUGUGGCUUGUGGUAAUGUUUCGAGUUUAUAGAAGCUGUAGAAGCAAAAUCAUCUUCUUCAUCUGGGUAUGGUUCUAUGGUAAGCGUCCAUGGGUAUUUAGAGGAAGUGCCUUGUAUUAACUCCAUCUUGUGAAGGCAGAGAAAGCUAGAAGAUACAUUCCAAGAGAAUUCAAAUUGGCUGAAGCUUUUGGACCAUGGAAGCUAGUUUGGAGGGCCAAAGCUAUCUAGAUGUUCCUGCAUCACAAAUGGUGCAUGAGCAACUUUGGGUAGAUAAAUAUGCACCAAAGUCAUUUACUGAGCUUCUUAGUGAUGAACAAACAAAUCGUGAGGUACUCUUAUGGUUGAAAUAAUGGGACUCUGCUAUUUUUGGAUCUGAAAUUCGAAGUACAUCAGAUGAUGUUUUGUUUGCUUUGAAGCGACAUUCUUCUGUUGCCCAAACUCAGCGACCUUUCAAUUCAAAGUUUUCAAGGACAAACAGAGGAGCCAAAUGGAGUAGUGGGAGGUAUAAAAAUUCAAGAAGUAUGGAUGAAAGUAGUAACUCACAGGGCAUUGAGGAUAUACUGAAUACAAGGACAACCAAUGUUGGUCCACCAGAACAGAAGGCUCAACCAGUGAAUGUUCCAACUAGUUUUAAGCAGAGGGCAAUACUGGUGGAUGAGAUUUGGCAUGCUGCAGGUGACAAUGCUUCUGAUAUUGAUUGGUAUGCCAAGCGCACUGUCCUAGCAAGACUAUACUUGACAACCGAGAUUUAUAUGCUGACAUAUACAUCUCCUGACUUCCAUGAUACAUGGGCCUUCCUGGAUGCUCGAGUGAAAAAUGCUUUUGAUCUAAAGAAAACCAUUCAAGAGCUCCACCAAACAUUGUUGGGAAUCAUUCUGAGAGGGGGAUAUUGAGCUCGAUUAUGUACUUGUUGGGCACAAGGUUGUAAGAAAAAUAUAAAAUACAGAAAAUGAGGGACCCUGACGUGAUCUUGAGAUCCCAGACCUACUAUUAAUUUUCCAUUGCUUUUGUAAUUAUACAUGCGUUUUGCUUAGUUAGUGAAUUUCGGUUGGAUAGUAGGUUGAAGGGUUUUUUGUUACUGAAAAAACCUGGAAAGUUUUGUAUGAGGAUUAAUGUAUAAAACAAUUAUACCAAAAAUUGUUAUUAAUUACUGUUUAAUUUAUCUUGUAAUAAAAAUUGCAUAUUAUAUUUA